CAACUAUUACACUGCUAAUAAAAUAUCAAAAGUAUAUCAACAACGACAGCAUGAAAAUAGAAAUUAUUCUAGAUAAGGUGAACCCUGUUCCGAACUGCUCAGCAUGGUUUGAGGGUCGGUUUAUCAAUGAUGCAUUUUGUUGCUGUGAUGAAACGAUACACGUAUCAUAAUGAUGUUAAAGUUAUUUACGAUUUUCCUGUUGACAAUGUCGGCUGUGAAGGUAGACUGCAAAUACUUUGCAACCUUGUUUAUCGUAAUGUUUCUAUUUUUGACGAAUACAUAGAUAUAUGUCAGGAAAAAGAUGAAGGCAUGCUGGCAAUGAUUAUAAUAUCCACCGGAUGUGCUGUGUUUGUUAUGAUUUUGUUUAUUUGCAUUUUCUUGGCCAAAAGACGUGAUAUUCUGUUUGGUAGACGAUUAUUAACUGCUGACACAAAGAAACAAGAAACGGAAAAAUCACCAAUAUUAAAUGUGUAGUUAAGUUAAUACCUUUUUGUUACUGGGAAAAUUUUGCCGUACAUUUUACGUUGCUUGUGUUAUUACAUCACAGUCACAAUGAAUUCCUCAAUGAAGUCAUCAACGAUGGGUGCAAUAAUAAAAAAAUGAACAGGCGGUUUGUUUAUUCAUUUAAACAAAACUUUUUUACCAUAUCAAUACUACACAGAUGUAAUGCUAUGUAAAAUGUCUGCUAUUAAUGAAAUCUUAUAUCAUUAUUGUCAAGGCAAAUUUUUCAUCGUUGCAUCCACCAUUGUUUCAUUGCAUCCAGCAGUGCAUGCAGACGUAACGUUAAAUUUUGUGUUUUGUGUUCAAGGUAUUGAAGAAUAACAUAAUUUUAAAACCAAAUUCAUCAUAGCCAUAAUUUUAUAAGACAAUAGAAGCAGAGCUAGUUAAUGUAAAACAGCAUUGGCAUAACAGAACACAUUACAAGUUUAAUAAAUACAAGAUCAAAUUUCAAGUUCAUCUGACGAAGUAUUUUAGAUACUUUUUUAACACUUAAGUGUCUAUUUUAGUUGAUCCAAUAAGUUUAUGUGAAAGAUUUUUACUAAUAUACUAAUUAAAACGCUCAGAUUCUAGCUUAGGUAUGAAAUCAAAUCUAUCAAAAAUGCCCAAAAAUGUAAUUUUCAAAUGGUUUUUGUCCCAAAAAAAAGUGGUCGCAUCCUUGUUCAUCCUCAAUCUUUAUAAAUGUUAUGUAUUAUCACCAAAUUCAACUUACAUUUCAAUAUUAAGAACGAACACGAAUGCGGCCACUUUCAUUUUACCAACAUGCUAAAAUUGUGAAAAAUUCAAU
Molecule: long non-coding RNA, 1285 nt
Organism: Mytilus trossulus (common blue mussel)
Lineage: Eukaryota; Metazoa; Mollusca; Bivalvia; Mytilida; Mytilidae
Exons: 4
Source: RefSeq, a predicted model, not a curated record